AGAGUUUGAUCCUGGCUCAGAACGAACGCUGGCGGCGUGGAUAAGACAUGCAAGUCGAGCGAGAUUUUUCGUUGUAGCAAUACGAUGGAAAGUCUAGCGGCGAACGGGUGCUUAACACGUGGGCAACCUGCCAUGAAGUGGGGGAUAGCUCGCCGAAAGGCGAAUUAAUACCGCAUGUGAUUAGAGAGGACAUCCUUUCAAAAUUAAAGUCGGGGCAACCUGACGCUUCUUGUGGGGCCCGCGGCCUAUCAGCUAGUUGGUGAGGUAACGGCUCACCAAGGCUUUGACGGGUAGCUGGUCUGAGAGGACGACCAGCCACACUGGGACUGAGACACGGCCCAGACACCUACGGGUGGCAGCAGUCGAGAAUUUUUGACAAUGGGGGAAACCCUGAUCGAGCGACGCCGCGUGGAGGAUGAAGGUCUUCGGAUUGUAAACUCCUGUCAUUUGGGAACAAGGCGCGUGUAUUAACUGUGCACGCGUUGAUAGUACCAGAAGAGGAAGGGACGGCUAACUCUGUGCCAGCAGCCGCGGUAAUACAGAGGUCUCAAGCGUUGUUCGGAUUCAUUGGGCGUAAAGGGUGCGUAGGCGGCGCGGUAAGUCGGGUGUGAAAUCUCGGAGCUUAACUCCGAAACUGCAUUCGAUACUGCCGUGCUUGAGGACUGGAGAGGAGACUGGAAUUUACGGUGUAGCGGUGAAAUGCGUAGAUAUCGUAAGGAAGACCAGUGGCGAAGGCGGGUCUCUGGACAGUUCCUGACGCUGAGGCACGAAGGCCAGGGGAGCAAACGGGAUUAGAUACCCUAGUAGUCC
This 810-nucleotide ribosomal RNA is filed under the name uncultured bacterium. Its description in RNAcentral is "bacterial SSU rRNA". It matches the Rfam family "Bacterial small subunit ribosomal RNA", at positions 8 to 796 of the family's 1533-position model. The record is from RNAcentral.